Molecule: long non-coding RNA, 683 nt
Organism: Passer domesticus (house sparrow)
Lineage: Eukaryota; Metazoa; Chordata; Aves; Passeriformes; Passeridae
Exons: 3
Source: RefSeq, a predicted model, not a curated record
UCAGCUACCUAGAAAAGGCUGCAAGGCUGGAGUGAGAGGCUGAGAUUCAAACCUUUGCUGCACCUCUUCUGUUCUAUUACACCGUUUCCCUUCCUCCAGUAAGGAGGUUACUUUUUUCUCUCUGAAAAGAGGUUCAGCAGAGGCAAAAAGAGCUCUACAUGCAAGAGCCAAAUCUCUUGCAUGGUGUAAUGACAAUUCACAGCCUCCUGUUACAUCGAUAGGCAGAGCAAGGACAGUCCAAGCAGGAUUCCUGACAGCUUGCUCUGGAGCCAUCAUCCUUCAGAUUUCCUUGGAGAAGGUUAACCAUCCUGGCAGAUGCACCUGCAGUCAGAAUAGCAAACAUCUGCUGUGCAGAAAUUAAUGGAUGUCAGAGCAGCAUUUAGAGACAGCACAAAACAGUCAGAGAAAAGCUGAAAGUGAAGUUGUGUCCUCAGAGCAGCAUUUAAACACUUGCACUGAACUACAAGCUGAAGAGGAGAAAACAAAGAAUGAAAUUGUUUCACAUGACAUGAACAUCUACCCUGUGGUGUGAGCAAACCCCAGUGCUGAGGGGGAAGGAGGAAGGAAGAGUGAAUAAUGGACAAUAUGCCCUGGAGAUCUCCUGAAGAGCACUCAGCUCACAGGAAGAGCAGGAAGCAAAAUAAAGCACCCUCAGCUCUGACACCCUCUGAUUUCAGAGAGCU